UAUUCUAUUAGUAUAAAAAUUACAUUUAGCUUCCAACUAAAAAAUCUAAGGAUAGAAU
Molecule: transfer RNA, 58 nt
Filed under: Freysuila caesalpiniae
Lineage: Eukaryota; Metazoa; Arthropoda; Insecta; Hemiptera; Psyllidae
Description: tRNA-Gly
Source: RNAcentral